RNAcentral lists this ribosomal RNA (495 nucleotides) under uncultured bacterium. RNAcentral describes it as "partial 16S ribosomal RNA". It matches the Rfam family "Bacterial small subunit ribosomal RNA", at positions 28 to 507 of the family's 1533-position model. The record is from RNAcentral.
GACGAACGCUGGCGGCGUGCCUAAUACAUGCAAGUAGAACGCUGAAGGAGGAGCUUGCUUCUCUGGAUGAGUUGCGAACGGGUGAGUAACGCGUAGGUAACCUGCCUGGUAGCGGGGGAUAACUAUUGGAAACGAUAGCUAAUACCGCAUAAGAGUAGAUGUUGCAUGACAUUUACUUAAAAGGUGCAAUUGCAUCACUACCAGAUGGACCUGCGUUGUAUUAGCUAGUUGGUGAGGUAACGGCUCACCAAGGCAACGAUACAUAGCCGACCUGAGAGGGUGAUCGGCCACACUGGGACUGAGACACGGCCCAGACUCCUACGGGAGGCAGCAGUAGGGAAUCUUCGGCAAUGGGCGGAAGUCUGACCGAGCAACGCCGCGUGAGUGCAGAAGGUUUUCGGAUCGUAAAGCUCUGUUGUAAGAGAAGAACGAGUGUGAGAGUGGAAAGUUCACACUGUGACGGUAUCUUACCAGAAAGGGACGGCUAACUACGUG